This is a long non-coding RNA of Sceloporus undulatus (fence lizard), 1559 nucleotides long. RefSeq lists it as uncharacterized. Lineage: Eukaryota; Metazoa; Chordata; Lepidosauria; Squamata; Phrynosomatidae. The transcript has 3 exons. The record is from RefSeq and is a predicted model, not a curated record.
GCUAAUGGGCAAGCAGGAGAGGCAGAGGACUCCACCUAGCCAAUAAAACCAUUAGACCCAGAAGGCAUUCCUUCUCACCAGUGGAAGUGGGCUGCUGCUGCUACCCUACAGCUUUCUGGGUCUGGUGAAGCUGGUGGCCAGACAGGAGAGGGAGGAGACUCACUUUCCUGCCCAUCCAGCAGACUUGGAAGCCACCAACCACAGUCCUGAACAGAAUUAAUCCACCUGGCCACAGAACAGCUACCAGGUGUCUGUGUUCUGGAGUUACACUUCUGCAGUUGUGGCCUUGUAGUCAGCAAUGGUGGCCAUUCAAUAUAACAACUGAGCAGCCACCACUACAAUUCUUCAGUUAAUGCUUGAGAAAAGAGAGAUGCCUCCAGAGCUGUCUCAGCUCUUCUGGUGUGUCAAGACUUUGCUGGAAGGAUUUACUAGAGCAGCUGUCCACCUAAUCUUUCCCUUUAAGGGAUGAGUGUCUGAAGAGUUGGAACAAUUGUUACUUGCAAGAACAGUGCAGUCCACCUUCUUCAAAGUGAGGCAUUUGGGCUUUGGUGGUUCUCCAGAAAGCUGGGCCAGCUCCUUAGUGCAGGUAAAGCAUAUCUGCAGGCUUCGGAAGAGUAGGUAGCAGUAAGUGCAUUGCUAUGUCAACGACAGGGAUAGAAAUAAUAUUUGAACAUAGUCACAAAAAUGGUUAAAAACAUUUCUUAAGUGCCAUGAAACGCUGAUUAGAAGAAUUCUAGAAUGAUGAGAAUCUUCACCAUUUGGGGCUUAUGCUAUACUGAAUUUACAUACAAUUGUUUUAAACAGAGUACAUCAUUUUCAGCACAGAAAAGAUGCUGUGCAGAACAUGCUGCCAUUAGGGACUACAUAUGUGAAAAAUUUACAUAUGGUUGCUUUUUUCCCCACAGUAAAUCAUUUUCUGUGCAGGAAACAGCAGAUAAUGUUUUCUGUGAAAAACAUCCAUCUGCAAGUUUCACAUAGGAUUGGUCUCAAAUUGUGAAUAGUCUUCAUAGCUUUCUCACAGUGGUAAACUUUUUGCUUCCUUCAAGAAAAUAAAAGGCAGUGAAGAAUUGCAUCUCUAUUCAAUGAGAAAAUAUGUAUGGGCAGCAUGAAUAUCAUUGUCUUGCUGAAAGCAGUGGUACCUCUUACACAACUUUGCUCGAUGUCCAAGAGUCCUCAAGGAAAGAGAAACCGUGAAACAAAUUCCAUCUUCUGCUAAUUCAAUGAGAAAUUACUUUUCUACUCUUCACAUCAUCCCACAGGAAAAUCACAGGAUACUGAUGUACAUACCCUAGUUUUUGUCAGUGUGGAGUCUCAUUGCAAUGUUGACAUGUGUCACAUCACCUUGGGAGUUGUUGGUCAGGAUGUUGUUGGAUUUUUUGGGUACUUCUAGUAUAAUCAUUAUAGUAAAAAUGUAUAGAAAUAUAAGAAACUGAAUUGGCUUUGAGAGCAAGACCUGCUUUCAAGAACAGUAGUAGCUGAGUGCAACAUACUCUUUGUAAUGAAUUCAUAUGGUACAAAAACAUUUAUAAAUGUGUGAGUCACAAAUUAUGGCACUGCAA